This 253-nucleotide ribosomal RNA is filed under the name uncultured bacterium. RNAcentral's name for it is "partial 16S ribosomal RNA". It matches the Rfam family "Bacterial small subunit ribosomal RNA", at positions 524 to 776 of the family's 1533-position model. The record is from RNAcentral.
UACAGAGGGGGCAAGCGUUGUUCGGAAUUACUGGGCGUAAAGGGCGCGUAGGCGGCCCGCUAAGUCGAACGUGAAAUCCCUGGGCUCAACCCAGGAACUGCGUACGAUACUGGCAGGCUUGAAUCCGGGAGAGGGAUGCGGAAUUCCAGGUGUAGCGGUGAAAUGCGUAGAUAUCUGGAGGAACACCGGUGGCGAAGGCGGCAUCCUGGACCGGUAUUGACGCUGAGGCGCGAAAGCCAGGGGAGCAAACGGG